This 2084-nucleotide ribosomal RNA is filed under the name human gut metagenome. RNAcentral describes it as "bacterial LSU rRNA". It matches the Rfam family "Bacterial large subunit ribosomal RNA", at positions 828 to 2925 of the family's 2925-position model. The record is from RNAcentral.
UCCAAUCGAACUCGGAGAUAGCUGGUUCUCCCCGAAAUAGCUUUAGGGCUAGCGUCGGAUAUGUGUAGUGGAGGUAGAGCACUGAAUGGGCUAGGGGGCAUAUCGCUUACCGAACCUUAUCAAACUCCGAAUGCCAUAUACAUUUAGUCCGGCAGUCAGACUACGAAUGAUAAGAUCCGUGGUCAAAAGGGAAACAGCCCAGAUCGUCAGCUAAGGUCCCAAAGUGUAAGUUAAGUGGAAAAGGAUGUGGGAUUUCUAAGACAACUAGGAUGUUGGCUUAGAAGCAGCCACUCAUUUAAAGAGUGCGUAAUAGCUCACUAGUCGAGAGAUCCUGCGCCGAAAAUGUCCGGGGCUAAAACUUACCACCGAAGCUACGGGCUUGCGUAAGCAAGCGGUAGGGGAGCGUCGUAAUCGGGCUGAAGUCGUACCGUAAGGAGCGGUGGACUGAUUACGAGUGAGAAUGUUGGCAUUAGUAGCGAGAUGUAGGUGAGAAUCCUACAGGCCGAAUAUCUAAGGUUUCCUCAGGAAGGCUCGUCCGCUGAGGGUUAGUCGGGACCUAAGCCGAGGCCGAAAGGCGUAGGCGAUGGACAACAGGUUGAUAUUCCUGUACCACUACCAUCGUUAUUAUCGAGGGUGUGACGGAGAAGGAUAGUGUGUGCUAGCGAUUGGAAAUGCUAGUCUAAGCGUUUAGGCAGUUACGGUAGGCAAAUCCGCUGUAACGUUAAUGCUGAGGCGUGAUGGGGAAGGCCCUUGAGGCUGAAGUACAUGAUUCCAUGCUUCCAAGAAAAGCAUCUAGAGAGAGAAGUAGUGCCCGUACCGCAAACCGACACAGGUAGAUGAGGAGAGAAUCCUAAGGCCGGCGGAAGAAUUGCAGUUAAGGAACUAGGCAAAUUGACCCCGUAAGUUAGCGAGAAGGGGUGCCUGCGAGAGCAGGCCGCAGAGAAUAGGCCCAAGCAACUGUUUAGCAAAAACACAGGUCUCUGCUAAAGCGCAAGCUGAUGUAUAGGGGCUGACGCCUGCCCGGUGCUGGAAGGUUAAGGGGAACACUUAGCGCAAGCGAAGGUGUGAACUUAAGCCCCAGUAAACGGCGGCCGUAACUAUAACGGUCCUAAGGUAGCGAAAUUCCUUGUCAGGUAAGUUCUGACCCGCACGAAUGGCGUAAUGACUUGGGCACUGUCUCAACUGCAAAUCCGGCGAAGUUGUAGUGCGAGUGAAGAUGCUCGCUACCCGCGAUUGGACGGAAAGACCCCGUAGAGCUUUACUGUAGCUUAGCAUUGAAUUCCGGUAUUGUCUGUACAGGAUAGGUGGGAGACUGGGAAACUAGGGCGUCAGCCUUAGUGGAGUCGUCCUUGGGAUACCACCCUGACAGUACUGGGGUUCUAACAGGACGCCAUGAAUCUGGUGACUGGACAUUGUUAGGUGGGCAGUUUGACUGGGGCGGUCGCCUCCUAAAAAGUAACGGAGGCGCCCAAAGGUUCCCUCAGAACGGUCGGAAAUCGUUCGUAGAGUGCAAAGGCAGAAGGGAGCCUGACUGCGAGACCUACAAGUCGAGCAGGGACGAAAGUCGGGCUUAGUGAUCCGGUGGUACCUCGUGGGAGGGCCAUCGCUCAACGGAUAAAAGCUACCUCGGGGAUAACAGGCUGAUCUCCCCCAAGAGUCCACAUCGACGGGGAGGUUUGGCACCUCGAUGUCGGCUCAUCGCAUCCUGGGGCUGUAGUAGGUCCCAAGGGUUGGGCUGUUCGCCCAUUAAAGCGGCACGCGAGCUGGGUUCAGAACGUCGUGAGACAGUUCGGUCCCUAUCCGUCGCGGGCGUAGGAAAUUUGAGAGGAGCUGUCCUUAGUACGAGAGGACCGGGAUGGACUGACCUCUGGUGCACCAGUUGUUCUGCCAAGAGCAUGGCUGGGUAGCUAAGUCGGGAAGGGAUAAACGCUGAAAGCAUCUAAGCGUGAAGCCUCCCUCAAGAUGAGAUUUCCCAUAGCAUAAGCUAGUAAGACCCCUUGAAGAACACGAGGUUGAUAGGUCAGAGGUGUAAGUGUGGUAACAUAUUUAGCUGACUGAUACUAAUAGGUCGAGGGCUUGACCAA